UUUACGGGAUCGAGGCCCGUCGAUCUAG
This 28-nucleotide transfer RNA is filed under the name Bavayia robusta. RNAcentral's name for it is "partial tRNA-Asn". Lineage: Eukaryota; Metazoa; Chordata; Lepidosauria; Squamata; Diplodactylidae. The record is from RNAcentral.